RNAcentral lists this long non-coding RNA (1624 nucleotides) under Malus domestica (apple). RNAcentral describes it as "long non-coding RNA (MDOM_LNC014283)". The record is from RNAcentral. Lineage: Eukaryota; Viridiplantae; Streptophyta; Magnoliopsida; Rosales; Rosaceae.
UUUAUUCAUAAGAUCGAGUAGACGAAACCAUUUCACAUACACUGGUAGCUACAAAGAUUACUUUUGUCGCAACAACUCAGCCUAAUGAAAUGGUACUAGAAGGACACACCAACCCAACCACCAAGAACUAGUGGCAUAUCUUUUUUUCAUCUCAAAACGAUUCAAUACUGGAGUAACACAUCCCUAGUAGCCGAGCACCGCAUACUUAGUGGUCCAAUUGCAAACAACCUAGCCCAAGCUGACCUCAGUUCUGCGCUCACAGCAGUGCUGAUCUUACACCACAGCUCCAAUCCAUGUCGAUCUUGCCCUGCAACUUCUAAUCGCGCCGACCAUGCCCACGAUACUUCAAAUUUUAAAGCAUCCAACGACGAAGUAAAAUAUGAGGCUUUACUAUCAUCACCUCUAGUGAAAGACUUAACGAUGAAGAAGCUUGCAAUCCAUUUAGAUUCUCAACUGACUACCAACCAAGCCUCAGAAGAACACACGAUGAAACAUGUAAAGAUGACACAAAACUUGGAGAAUGUCCGUGAGCAGCUCAUUGCGCUUCCCAUUUACACCCUUACACGAGUUCCACAAGCAAUUUGAAAUCGCAAGCAGAUCGCCGAACAAGACCGUACAGACUGAUAACUAUUUUAGUUGUCUAGUAGUCCAGUUUUCUUCAGUUGCACUCAUAACAAUGACUUCUAUGCUCUUCAGUACGAUAGGGUAAACCAAUCUUCCGACACCCAUUUGGGUUAGCUCUCUAGUGCGAGAGGGUAAACUAAUUCCCCAACACCCAUUUGGGUCUGCUCUCCAAUGUGAGGAUAAACUAAUUGCUCUCCAGUGUGAGAGAGUAAACUAAUUGUUCUACAAUGCGAGAAGGUAAACUGCUCUCCAGUGCGAGAGGAUAAACUAAUUGUUCUACAAUGCGAGAAGGUAAACUAAUCCCCUGACACCUAUCUGGGUAUGCUCUUUAGUGCGAGAGGAUAAACUAAUUGAUCACUAGUGUGAGAGGGUAAACCAAUCCCCCGACACCUAUCUGGGUAAACUCUCCAAUAUGAGAAAAUAAAAUAAUUGCUUUCCAAUGUGAGAAGGUAAACCAAUCUCCAGACACCCAUCUGGGUAAGCUCUCUUGUACAAGAGGAUAAAUUAAUAGAUCUCCAAUGUGAGAUGGUAAACUAAUUUCUCUCAAGUGCGAGAGGGUAAACUAAUUCCCCGAUGCCCAUCUGGGUUUGCUCUCCAGUGCAAGAGGAUAAACUAAUUGCUAUCUAGAGGGAGAUGGUAAACCAAUCCCCAACACCCAUCUGGGUAAGCUCUUUAGUGUGAGCGGAUAAACUAAUUACUCUUCAGUGUGAGAAGGUAAACCAAUUUCCCGACACCCAUCUGGAUUUGCUCUCUAGUGCAAGAUGAUAAACUAAUUCUUUGACACCCAUCUAGGUCUACUCUUCAAUGGAAGGGGGCAAACUUCCCAUGAAUUUCCACACUACUCAUUUUGAUGUGAUUAGUUAAAGAUUUUCAUAUUCCACAUAUCUUUAUUAUGUUGUGAUGCAGGCUAUACAACUCCAAUGAUCAAACUCGAAGACCAACUAAGCAUCAAAUGGUCAUAGAGUAGUAGUCGACGACGAACUCAACAACUUGAAGCCCA